This 537-nucleotide ribosomal RNA is filed under the name Antipathozoanthus macaronesicus. Its description in RNAcentral is "partial 16S ribosomal RNA". It matches the Rfam family "Bacterial large subunit ribosomal RNA", at positions 1918 to 2424 of the family's 2925-position model. The record is from RNAcentral. RNAcentral also lists the same sequence under 2 other names. Lineage: Eukaryota; Metazoa; Cnidaria; Anthozoa; Zoantharia; Parazoanthidae.
GACAAUUGAAUGGCCGCGGUAACACUGACCGUGAUAAUGUAGCGUAAUCACUAGCCAAUUAAUUGUUGGCCAGUAUGAAUGGCGCCACGAAGGCCCCACUGUCUUAAGGAAAUUCCCAGUGAAAUUGAAUUCGUAGUGAAGAUGCUACGUCCAAUUUGUUAGACGAAAAGACCCCGUUGAGCUUUACUGGGGCACUUACACGGCCCUGGCCUUCAAGCCUAAGUGUGAUAGGCCAAGGCUUACCGCACCUAGGAGUUGGCCGAAUUUAAAUGGGUGGCUUAGACUAUGUGGCAGCCCCCCGUCGGGGCAGAUGAAACCCCACUCCCCCAUGUCAAAGGGGCUAACCCCCUCCUCUUGGGAGGGGGGACAAUGUAAGUAGGACAGUUUGGUUGGGGCGACCGCCUUUUAAAUAGUAACGAAGGUGCGCUUAAGGUGUGUAAUUAAUGACUGAAGCCUGACUGCGAGGGGGACACCCCGAGCAGACACCCCCAAGCCCGCCCGGGAGGGCGGCGAUGGGGUGGGCCAUAGUGACCCGUU